This 251-nucleotide ribosomal RNA is filed under the name Cyphophthalmus cf. minutus JM-2009. RNAcentral describes it as "partial 28S ribosomal RNA". It matches the Rfam family "Eukaryotic large subunit ribosomal RNA", at positions 666 to 887 of the family's 3401-position model. The record is from RNAcentral. Lineage: Eukaryota; Metazoa; Arthropoda; Arachnida; Opiliones; Sironidae.
CCAAGGAGUCUAACAUGUGCGCGAGUCAUUGGGUCUUGUUUAGGCCCAAAGGCGAAAUGAAAGUGAAGGCCGAUUCGGUCGGCUGCGUUGGGAUCCCGUCCCACUCGUGGGCGGGCGCACCAACGGCCCGUCCCGAUCGCCGCGUCGAUGGGGCGGAGUGAGAGCGUACACGUUGGGACCCGAAAGAUGGUGAACUAUGCCUGGGCAGGACGAAGCCAGAGGAAACUCUGGUGGAGGUCCGCAGCGAUUCU